RNAcentral lists this ribosomal RNA (1051 nucleotides) under Salmonella enterica. RNAcentral describes it as "bacterial SSU rRNA". It matches the Rfam family "Bacterial small subunit ribosomal RNA", at positions 108 to 1156 of the family's 1533-position model. RNAcentral also lists the same sequence under 1 other name. Lineage: Bacteria; Pseudomonadati; Pseudomonadota; Gammaproteobacteria; Enterobacterales; Enterobacteriaceae. The record is from RNAcentral.
GAGUAAUGUCUGGGAAACUGCCUGAUGGAGGGGGAUAACUACUGGAAACGGUGGCUAAUACCGCAUAACGUCGCAAGACCAAAGAGGGGGACCUUCGGGCCUCUUGCCAUCAGAUGUGCCCAGAUGGGAUUAGCUUGUUGGUGAGGUAACGGCUCACCAAGGCGACGAUCCCUAGCUGGUCUGAGAGGAUGACCAGCCACACUGGAACUGAGACACGGUCCAGACUCCUACGGGAGGCAGCAGUGGGGAAUAUUGCACAAUGGGCGCAAGCCUGAUGCAGCCAUGCCGCGUGUAUGAAGAAGGCCUUCGGGUUGUAAAGUACUUUCAGCGGGGAGGAAGGUGUUGUGGUUAAUAACCGCAGCAAUUGACGUUACCCGCAGAAGAAGCACCGGCUAACUCCGUGCCAGCAGCCGCGGUAAUACGGAGGGUGCAAGCGUUAAUCGGAAUUACUGGGCGUAAAGCGCACGCAGGCGGUCUGUCAAGUCGGAUGUGAAAUCCCCGGGCUCAACCUGGGAACUGCAUUCGAAACUGGCAGGCUUGAGUCUUGUAGAGGGGGGUAGAAUUCCAGGUGUAGCGGUGAAAUGCGUAGAGAUCUGGAGGAAUACCGGUGGCGAAGGCGGCCCCCUGGACAAAGACUGACGCUCAGGUGCGAAAGCGUGGGGAGCAAACAGGAUUAGAUACCCUGGUAGUCCACGCCGUAAACGAUGUCUACUUGGAGGUUGUGCCCUUGAGGCGUGGCUUCCGGAGCUAACGCGUUAAGUAGACCGCCUGGGGAGUACGGCCGCAAGGUUAAAACUCAAAUGAAUUGACGGGGGCCCGCACAAGCGGUGGAGCAUGUGGUUUAAUUCGAUGCAACGCGAAGAACCUUACCUGGUCUUGACAUCCACAGAAGAAUCCAGAGAUGGAUUUGUGCCUUCGGGAACUGUGAGACAGGUGCUGCAUGGCUGUCGUCAGCUCGUGUUGUGAAAUGUUGGGUUAAGUCCCGCAACGAGCGCAACCCUUAUCCUUUGUUGCCAGCGAUUAGGUCGGGAACUCAAAGGAGACUGCCAGU